Long non-coding RNA from Cyprinodon tularosa, 1114 nucleotides. RefSeq lists it as uncharacterized. The transcript is spliced from 4 exons. The record is from RefSeq and is a predicted model, not a curated record. NCBI's taxonomy places the organism in Eukaryota, Metazoa, Chordata, Actinopteri, Cyprinodontiformes, Cyprinodontidae.
CCUGAGGACAGCACAGAGAAAGACUGGAACAGAAAACACACGGAGGAAAGCAGGUUGAACAUGGAAGCAGUGUUCUAGCAGUCGGAUCACAUUGGAAAAGAAUCCAUCCACAUGUGUUUGGAGGAGCUGAAGAAGAGGAUGGAGCACACAGACCGCUAAGGAGAAGAAACAUGGCUCCUCUAUUUGUCUCUCCAACGUUCUGGAGUCUGAAAAACGUUGACGACCCCGCAGCUAAACCAUCAGUCUGCUCCACCCAGUAGAAGAAGAUGAGGUCAUCUGCUCCUUGGACCGGCACCUCUGUGUCUGUCGGACGUCUGCUGUCCUGUUAAAGACCCGCUCAGCUGCAGUAGAUGGGCGCCGACAUGGAACCGGGGUCUGCUGGAGGUUCCUUCCUGCUUAAAGCUGGUUUUCCUCUCCACUGUCUCCUCAUUGCUCAGGAGUAGGCACUGCAGCAAAAUUAACGACUGUCUGUGAUUGGCUGAGCUUCCUUGGGUUGAAGACAUUUCUCUGAAUGCCACGAUAAACUGACUUUAUCUUCACCAUGUUGUAAAUAGGAUCUAAUUGGAUAUUUGUGUUUAGAUUUGGUUCUGUGUUUGUGUUGACUUCUGUUACAGUACAUGUUUCUGUAUUAAAAUUGUCAUGUUAAUUGCCUUUAGAUGACAUUUUCUGUGACUUAAUUCUAUUUUAAGACUGAUUUAUAUUAAAUCCCCUUACUGCACAGGUGUCAAAGUCGUUCCAGAAAUGGCCGUGUGGCUGCUGGUUUUCUUUCCACCCAAGCAGUAGCACACCAGACUCCAUUCAUCUCAUCAAGGUGAGUCUAGUCUUAACCUGAUGACUUGAUGGGAUGAAUGGAGUCUGGUGUGCUACUGCUUGGGUGGAAAGAAAACCAGCAGCCACACGGCCCUUUCUGGAAUGACUUUGACACCCCUGCCUUACUGGGUCUGGUUCUGUUGAAGUAUGCUUCCUGUCGUUCUAUCUUUACCUGUUAUUUCUCACUAUAAUAAAUGUUUGAUUGCAGUAAUGUGAACAGGAUCUGUUUGUAUUUUCUGGUAAAGUGUCUUGAAAUAAGUGGUUGUAAAUUGAUUCUUUAUAAAUAAACCAAACUGAAGUCAAA